This 471-nucleotide ribosomal RNA is filed under the name uncultured bacterium. RNAcentral's name for it is "bacterial SSU rRNA". It matches the Rfam family "Bacterial small subunit ribosomal RNA", at positions 404 to 893 of the family's 1533-position model. The record is from RNAcentral.
GAUGAUGAAGGCCUUCGGGUUGUAAAGUCCUUUCGGCGGGGAAGAUGAUGACGGUACCCGCAGAAGAAGCCCCGGCUAACUUCGUGCCAGCAGCCGCGGUAAUACGAAGGGGGCUAGCGUUGUUCGGAAUUACUGGGCGUAAAGGGCGCGUAGGCUGUGCUGCAAGUCAGGCGUGAAAGGCCCGGGCUCAACCUGGGAACUGCGCAUGAUACUGCGGCGCUUGAAGACGGGAGGGGAUGGCGGAAUUCCCAGUGUAGAGGUGAAAUUCGUAGAUAUUGGGAAGAACACCGGUGGCGAAGGCGGCCAUCUGGCCCGUGAUUGACGCUGAGGCGCGAAAGCGUGGGGAGCAAACAGGAUUAGAUACCCUGGUAGUCCACGCCGUAAACGAUGAGUGCUAGACGUCGGGGAGCUUGCUCUUCGGUGUCGCCGCUAACGCAUUAAGCACUCCGCCUGGGGAGUACGGUCGCAAGA